UACGAAGGGGGCUAGCGUUGCUCGGAAUCACUGGGCGUAAAGGGCGCGUAGGCGGGGAGGUAAGUCGGGUGUGAAAUCCCUCGGCCCAACCGAGGAACUGCGCCCGAGACUGCUUCUCUUGAGUCCCGGAGAGGAAGAUGGAAUUCCCGGUGUAGUGGUGAAAUACGUAGAGAUUGGGAAGAACACCAGUGGCGAAGGCGGCUAUCUGGACGGUUUCUGACGCUAAGACGCGAAAGCGUGGGGAGCAAACAGG
Molecule: ribosomal RNA, 253 nt
Filed under: uncultured bacterium
Lineage: Bacteria
Description: partial 16S ribosomal RNA
Rfam family: Bacterial small subunit ribosomal RNA
Source: RNAcentral